CAGUAGCCGCGGGAAUACGUAGGGUGCAAGCGUUAAUCGGAAUUACUGGGCGUAAAGCGUGCGCAGGCGGUUUCGUAAGACAGAUGUGAAAUCCCCGGGCUUAACCUGGGAACUGCAUUUGUGACUGCGAGGCUAGAGUGUGUCAGAGGGGGGUGGAAUUCCACGUGUAGCAGUGAAAUGCGUAGAUAUGUGGAGGAACACCGAUGGCGAAGGCAGCCCCCUGGGAUAACACUGACGCUUAUGCACGAAAGCGUGGGGAGCAAACAGGAUUAGAUACCCGUGUAGUCCCUGUCUCUUAUAC
This 301-nucleotide ribosomal RNA is filed under the name uncultured bacterium. RNAcentral's name for it is "partial 16S ribosomal RNA". It matches the Rfam family "Bacterial small subunit ribosomal RNA", at positions 509 to 807 of the family's 1533-position model. The record is from RNAcentral.